GAAGCAGAUGGCAGACUUGAGACUUGGGGUCCUUCCACUGUAUUAGCACAUGCUCGUCUGUCAUAUUUGACUGGCCAAAGUGACAUGUCCAUCACCUGUAAUGGGCCGCCAGCUGGCAGCGAGCAUUUCGCUCCACUUUACUGCCAUUUUUCAUUUCCAGCUAUAUUCCAGCGACUUGCUUUUUCCUCAUCUGUCACUGCCGUACUAACUUUUUUUUUUUUUUCUCCUUUCAGUGGCAAGAAAUUAAGUUGUGUCCACAGCUUAUUUCCUCUCAUCGGUCAGCGCCAUAAUUCAGCCACUAAAAACGUCGCAACUGGAGUAACGGGUUCACAUGUAAACUUCCACGAGGGGUGACAAACAGCUCGAAGCAUUGACGCCUCGCCUCAUAUUUGAGGAAAUCUGCAAAGAAAUUCUCUGAAGAGCUUCAAUGUGUUUUUCCCGGCUGGAGGUCAUCCAGUCCUCAGAUCAAAAAUCCAACCGUGGUCUCUCCUGUACCAAAUACCACGACCGUCUCAAGUUGUCAAGAUCGCUCCGUGUGUACAGAUACCACCAGAAGAAGAAAACCAACAAAUACCGGACGGAUCAGCCGGCGCCACGUGGUAUUGAUGUCACCUCGUCAUGGAGACUCCGCCCCGAGACAUGGCCAUCCGACCUGAACCUAAAAUCCUCAGGCAUCGCCGCUGUUCAUUGUCCUUGAGACGUUCCGGCGGGUGCGAAAUGAGUGAGUAACUAUUCACCGUCUUGUACAGUAACGCUCUCCUUCACGAGGCAGCCGUUUGAUUGGAGGGAUGACACGUGGGCGUGAGCUCACCGAGGAUCAACGGACAGCUAAUAGAUGGAGACGCAAUUCAGCGAGGACGAGCCGUUUGCCGCUGUCAAUACGACAAAGGCGGCGUCGGCGGCCGCCCAUCGAUCUCCCCGCAGCCCGCGCCCGAGACGGCUUCAAAAUUCAGCAAUAAUCCUGACAAACAAGGAGCGGCGCCGCGGCCAGAAAAUCGUCAAUAAACGGCGGCGGAGACAAAAUGCCAAGUCCAACGUGCCUGUUGUGAAGGCGAAGGUUCAACAGGCCAAGAGGUGAAAAAGCCACGGCAAUCAUUUACCCGCCGUGUCACGCCACCGUGAUGGAGUUGAAUUCUGGUGCUGGACCUGCCUACCUCGGUGCGAAAAGUGGCAUGUGGCUGAAGGUGAUGCUCGACGAAUCCCCGGAGGCUGUAAGAUGCUCUCAACAUCACGGUAGUCAUACACCAUCGGCCAGCGACGAAGAUUGAUACUUGCGAGAUGAAAGCAAAAUUGAAACCAUGAAGCUAAACGUUGCAUUCAAAAGCUCAUAAAAGAGAUUUAUUUACGCGGCUUCGAUGUCGAAUGACUCACGCGGCAGUGGAUUGUUUGCCAACGUUGCUCUUCAUCCUGUGUAUCGCAGAUAAGCUUUGACUCCAAGCUGGCAAAAAUGGUUGCACUCUCCGGAGGGAAGGAGUCUUUCGCCACCUGUUGGAUUCUUUUCGCAUUGCAGCACAAACUCUGCAAACGAGUUGGGCUCACCUAUCGAGAAGGUUUUUCUUCAUUUGAACCGAAUGGAACUUCUGUUUGAUUCAAUAUUUGUAUGGAGCUCUGCACCUUGCCGAGCGUAUUGAGGACGUUCUCGUGACCGCGGCAGGCAGGCCGGCCCGGGUCCCGGCGCCGCGACACAACGGGCCCGCUGGUCACGACGAGAGGGAAGUGUGGACGGGGAAACCGUCGAAGGGGCUGUCGAGUUGGCUGAGCGUCACGCGCCGCAAGUUGGAAGAUGCCGGCCACUAAUACGGCACCAGUGUCGCUCGUCCUCGUCUCUGCUACCUGUCACCGCGCCCCUUUCGUCAUGUUUGGAAACAACAGCCAAUAAACAAUCUGGCCAUGCUGAGAAGAUGGAGAGAGGAGCCGUGUCUCCACAACAGCACUGUUCGACUCUGCGUGACAAGAUCUUACUGCACCCAGGUGGUUGAGGUGCAAAACAAUGUCCAUUGAAAAAUGUGGCAAAUUCGUUUGCUUUCAUGCUUUACGGGGGUCCACCGGCACGGGACCUGACGAUCAACGGCUCACGCGGCCCAUCAGCUCCACUUUGGAACGGGUGGCAUGCGCAGGCUGACGUGACUGCCUUGGAGCAGCGCAGCCGCCACUUGCCACCGCUGCAUUCCUCCUCCUCCUCCUCCUCACGACAGUAAGAGCACCUUGAUGGAUUGCCUUGCCAAAAGUGCUGAUCACAGAGGGUUCAAAGGUCACGGCAGGAGCAAAACAGCAACUUGAGGCUGGACUCUGAGCUUUCUUUUUCAAGACGACUUGGGAGCGCAGUUUGCAAUGAGGUAGUGUGCAGCACCAAAUUUUGAAAUCCUCCCCCUUAGAAAAAAAAAGAAAAUUGCACACUUUUUGUUUGUGGUUCUGACCUGAAUCACGUCAUCACUCGAAGCUUCUUGUAAGCUCAUCUUCAUGUGCUGAAAAAUUAAAACAUGAUUUCAGGGUUGUA
Molecule: long non-coding RNA, 2497 nt
Organism: Hippocampus zosterae (dwarf seahorse)
Lineage: Eukaryota; Metazoa; Chordata; Actinopteri; Syngnathiformes; Syngnathidae
Exons: 14
Source: RefSeq, a predicted model, not a curated record